CUACGGGCGGCACCAGUGGGGAAUAUUGCACAAUGGGGGAAACCCUGAUGCAGCAACGCCGCGUGGAGGAUGACGCAUUUCGGUGUGUAAACUCCUUUUAUAUAGGAAGAUAAUGACGGUACUAUAUGAAUAAGCACCGGUUAACUCCGUGCCAGCAGCCGCGGUAAUACGGAGGGUGCAAGCGUUACUCGGAAUCACUGGGCGUAAAGCGCGCGCAGGCGGCCCCUUAAGUUGGAUGUGAAAGCCUACGGCUUAACCGUAGAACUGCAUCCAAAACUGAGGGGCUAGAGUCUGGGAGGGGAAGAUGGAAUUAGUUGUGUAGGGGUAAAAUCCGUAGAGAUAACUAGGAAUACCAAAAGCGAAGGCGAUCUUCUGGAACAGUACUGACGCUGAGGCGCGAAAGCGUGGGGAGCAAACAGGAUUAGAUACCCCCGUAGUC
Molecule: ribosomal RNA, 439 nt
Filed under: uncultured bacterium
Lineage: Bacteria
Description: partial 16S ribosomal RNA
Rfam family: Bacterial small subunit ribosomal RNA
Source: RNAcentral